Molecule: ribosomal RNA, 632 nt
Filed under: uncultured Gammaproteobacteria bacterium
Lineage: Bacteria; Pseudomonadati; Pseudomonadota; Gammaproteobacteria
Description: partial 16S ribosomal RNA
Source: RNAcentral
CCAACGCGUUGGGAGCUCUCCCAUAUGGUCGACCUGCAGGCGGCCGCGAAUUCACUAGUGAUUCGUAUUACCGCGGCUGCUGGCACAGAGUUAGCCGGUGCUUAUUCUGUCGGUAACGUCAAAACAGCAAAGUAUUAAUUUACUGCCCUUCCUCCCAACUUAAAGUGCUUUACAAUCCGAAGACCUUCUUCACACACGCGGCAUGGCUGGAUCAGGCUUUCGCCCAUUGUCCAAUAUUCCCCACUGCUGCCUCCCGUAGGAGUCUGGACCGUGUCUCAGUUCCAGUGUGACUGAUCAUCCUCUCAGACCAGUUACGGAUCGUCGCCUUGGUGAGCCAUUACCCCACCAACUAGCUAAUCCGACCUAGGCUCAUCUGAUAGCGCAAGGCCCGAAGGUCCCUUGCUUUCUCCCGUAGGACGUAUGCGGUAUUAGCGUCCGUUUCCGAACGUUAUCCCCCACUACCAGGCAGAUUCCUAGGCAUUACUCACCCGUCCGCCGCUCUCAAGAGAAGCAAGCUUCUCUCUACCGCUCGACUUGCAUGUGUUAGGCCUGCCGCCAGCGUUCAAUCUGAGCCAUGAUCAAACUCUAAUCGAAUUCCCGCGGCCGCCAUGGCGGCCGGGAGCAUGCGACGU